RNAcentral lists this long non-coding RNA (1413 nucleotides) under Pan paniscus (pygmy chimpanzee). Its description in RNAcentral is "lncRNA (ENSPPAG00000044808.1)". The record is from RNAcentral. Lineage: Eukaryota; Metazoa; Chordata; Mammalia; Primates; Hominidae.
CCCAUCAUUGGUAGAUUGGAUAAAGAAAGUGUGGUACAUAUGGUCAUUUUAUUAGGAAGUGAAAUAAAGUGUAUGUUAAUGAGCAUGUUGCUUUUGUGGGCCUAAUCCUAACAGCAACCGUCUGAGAAGCUGUGUGGAGCAUCCCUCAAGUCAUCCUUUCUUGGAUGAUGGGGAGGCUGGGGCAUUUAUCCACUUACCUUCCUUCCCCAUUGGUUGAUGGGUGUCCCUGGUGGCAUGAACCCCUCUCACUUCAGGGUUGCAUUUGUUUUUGACAGAGCAAACCCCAUGGUGUUGGAGAAUCAGGAGAAGAAGAGAGAGGCUGGUCUAGAGGUGCAGAGCUUUCAGCAAACUGCUUACCACACCUAAGGUGAAUUCAGGUGGGCCCUGCAGGCAUGGGGUGUGGUGUUGACAGGGUCUGCUACACUUGGCAAGGGUUAAGGUUAGAAUUAGAGUCAGGAUUAGUAAACUCUGAUAGGUUGAAGUAAACAAAGAAAAAAGAGCAUCAGCAUCAACCUCUCCCACUCUUUCCUCAGGAUAUAUUGAGAACCACAUUUUGGCAAAGUGUGUAUAAACUAUUAAUAAAGUAUCAUUUAUUUCAUAGUUUUUGAUAAAAUAUGUAAAUUGAAACUCUAAUAUUUUCUUUCCACACCUGGAAGGUCAUUUUGAAUAUCUCUUGGGAGCCUGCAUCUCUUCCUUAUGAUCAGUUUCCUAGCACAGCGACUCAAGGGCCUGAUGCGUCAGGCUGCUGAGAUAUCUAUCUGUUCCGACAAAGGCUGCCUCAGUGCCAUGAAAACACAUCACGUGCUGCAAGUCCUGGCAACAUUUAUGUCUCCAAUGCAAAAUUGUGGAUUUCUGCCAAGAAUUUACCUGCCUAUUCUCCAAGGACAAACAGUGUGUGUUGCAGCCCUAAAACUACAUAUUUUCCUGCUACUUCAAAAUCUCCAUAAAAGGGCUGUGAGUUUCCAAUUUAGUCAACCAGGUGCACCAAUGUGAUAAGGUUGGUCCCUGCUGGAGGUUCUCCUUCCUACUUCCUUUCCUGACUGUGACCUAGUGACAUUCAAACACACCAGUGAAAUUCCCUCACUCCUUUUCUUGUGUGUCCCACCCUGAACCUCAAUAAAUGUACUUGCUCACAGGUUCUCUCUCUCUCUCUGCUUCCCAUCUGCUUGGGUGAUCCUGAUCCCUUCGUGCUCAUUCCCAUGUGAUUCCCCUUUCAGCAUGCAGUGAUCCUGUCUCUCUGGGACCUGUGAGCAUCAUAAACUGUUUUUUCCUGAGCCUCUCCUGUUUCUUCUCGUGGCCACACCUGACUUACCAUCUCAUGAAAGAAUGCAAAACAGUGAUUAUACUUUUUUUUUCCUUUAGGAAGGAGAGUAACAGAAGGAUCAGUUUCCAUUGAAAGUGCUAUGAUACAAU